RNAcentral lists this ribosomal RNA (250 nucleotides) under uncultured prokaryote. RNAcentral's name for it is "partial 16S ribosomal RNA". It matches the Rfam family "Bacterial small subunit ribosomal RNA", at positions 524 to 773 of the family's 1533-position model. The record is from RNAcentral.
UACGUAGGUGGCAAGCGUUAUCCGGAAUUAUUGGGCGUAAAGCGCGCGUAGGCGGUUCGUUAAGUCUGAUGUGAAAGCCCCCGGCUCAACCGGGGAGGGUCAUUGGAAACUGGCGAACUUGAGUGCAGAAGAGGAGAGUGGAAUUCCAUGUGUAGCGGUGAAAUGCGCAGAGAUAUGGAGGAACACCAGUGGCGAAGGCGGCUCUCUGGUCUGUAACUGACGCUGAGGUGCGAAAGCGUGGGGAUCAAAC